GUCUUUUAAUUGGAGUCUGGAAUGAAUGGUUGGAUGAGGGGUGUUCUUUCUUUAUUUUAAGUGAAUGAAUUUGAUUUCUAUGUCAAAAAGCAUAGAUAUUUUUAUAGGACGAGAAGACCCUAUAGAACUUUAUUAUUACAGGUAUAGUCUUAUUUUAGUAUUUAUGAUAUAGUCCUAUAUUUUAUAUAAUUUUGUUGGGGUGAUGGAAAAAAAUUUAUAACUUUUUUUUAUUAAUACAUUUAUAUAUGUAAAUUUGAUCCUUUUUUAAGGAUAAGAAGAUUAAGUUACCUUAGGGAUAACAGCGUUAUUUUAUCAUAGAGUUCAUAUCGAUGAUAUAGUUUGCGACCUCGAUGUUGGAUUAAAAUAAGUGGCAGGUGCAGGGUCUUGCUUACUGGGUCUGUUCGACCCAUAAAUUUUUACA
RNAcentral lists this ribosomal RNA (421 nucleotides) under Deraeocoris ater. Its description in RNAcentral is "partial 16S ribosomal RNA". It matches the Rfam family "Bacterial large subunit ribosomal RNA", at positions 1971 to 2600 of the family's 2925-position model. Lineage: Eukaryota; Metazoa; Arthropoda; Insecta; Hemiptera; Miridae. The record is from RNAcentral.